GGCAGACGGGUGAGUAACAUGUAGGUAUCUGCCCUUUGGCCUGGAAUAACACGAGGAAACUUGUGCUAAUACCGGAUAAGUCUUUACGGAGAAAGCUUUAUGCACCAUUGGAUGAGCCUGCACUUGAUUAGUUUGUUGGUGGGGUAAUGGCCUACCAAGACUGUGAUCAAUAGCUGAUUUGAGAGGAUGAUCAGCCACAUUGGGACCGAGACACGGCCCAAACUCCUACGGGAGGCAGCAGUGGGGAAUCUUGCACAAUGGAGGAAACUCUGAUGCAGCGAUGCUGCGUGAGUGAAGAAGGCCUUUGGGUUGUAAAGCUCUUUCGUCGGGGAAGAAAAUGACUGUACCCGAAUAAGAAGGUCCGGCUAACUUCGUGCCAGCAGCCGCGGUAAUACGAAGGGACCUAGCGUAGUUCGGAAUUACUGGGCUUAAAGAGUUCGUAGGUGGUUGAAAUAGUUGGUGGUGAAAUCCCAGAGCUUAACUCUGGAACUGCCAUCAAAACUUUUCAGCUAGAGUAUGAUAGAGGAAAGCAGAAUUUCUAGUGUAGAGGUGAAAUUCGUAGAUAUUAGAAAGAAUACCAAUUGCGAAGGCAGCUUUCUGGAUCAUUACUGACACUGAGGAACGAAAGCAUGGGUAGCGAAGAGGAUUAGAUACCCUCGUAGUCCAUGCCGUAAACGAUGUGUGUUAGACGUUGGAAAUUUAUUUUCAGUGUCGCCAGGGAAACCGAU
This 728-nucleotide ribosomal RNA is filed under the name uncultured marine bacterium. RNAcentral describes it as "bacterial SSU rRNA". It matches the Rfam family "Bacterial small subunit ribosomal RNA", at positions 97 to 861 of the family's 1533-position model. The record is from RNAcentral.